RNAcentral lists this transfer RNA (78 nucleotides) under Klebsiella pneumoniae. RNAcentral's name for it is "tRNA-Ile(gat)". It matches the Rfam family "tRNA". Rfam says of the family: Transfer RNA (tRNA) molecules are approximately 80 nucleotides in length. The record is from RNAcentral. Lineage: Bacteria; Pseudomonadati; Pseudomonadota; Gammaproteobacteria; Enterobacterales; Enterobacteriaceae.
AGGCUUUGUAGCUCAGGUGGUUAGAGCGCACCCCUGAUAAGGGUGAGGUCGGUGGUUCAAGUCCACUCAGGCCUACCA